UUAAAUAAUAAAUAAUUCAUCCUCAUCUUAUCAUCUAUAGGAUUUUCUAUUUAAUUAUUCAUUAAUAAAUAUUUUAUUAAAUUUUCCUAAUAACUUCACAUAUAUCUCAUUACAAUAAUUUUUUACAUCAAUUUUGAUCACCAUUUCCAACCCAUCAGAAUCGGUCAAACGCUUUCUGCAAAUAUAUGCUGAUGCCAAUUCCCUUUCCAUUUCCUCGAGUUAAUCCAUCCUAUUGUGAAGCCCAGCCAAAGCUUUCUGCAAGUUCUGAUGGUUCACCACAGGUAGGUGGAUGACAACAGCAGUCAUCUAUUACACCACACCAAAUAAAGAAGAAGAAGAAGGAGAGAGAGAGAGAGAGAGGACAGCUGCAAUGCGGGCCUUCCGUCCUUCUCCCACACACCCUGUCAUCAACAUGCGCCCAUCAUCUCCUCCUUUCAUUCACAUUCAUUCCUUCAUUUGACAGCUUCUUCCUUUCUAAGUCUGGCCUUCUCUGCACAGCCACGCAAUAACCACAACCCCUUCUCUCCGACUAUAUAACCUCCCCCUCCACCUGAACCCAUUCCCAUCUCUCUCUCCCUCUCUCUAGGAAUCUGUGGAGAUCAUCGUCACAGUUGAUAUUUUCUUCUCUUCAACGACGAUGGAGGCUGCUCUUAAGCUCAGGCUCUUCGCCCUGGCCAUGGUGGUCGUCGUCGUGGCCUCUUCCUUGGUCGAGAAAGCCGCCGCUGCUGACGCACCCGCCCCCACCCCUACCUCCGGCGCCACUACCACCGCCCUCGCCGCACCUGCUGCCGCCCUUGCCUCGUUCUCCGCCCUCCUCUUCGGAUGCUUCCUCUACUAAGCCACAACGUCAUUGUUUCGUCACCUUGUUUCCUUUCCUUUGUUGUGAUUUCUUCAUGUAGUCAUUCUCUUCUGUCAUGGUGUCUAUGAAGAGAGAGGAAGAGAGAGGAAUAUGCAUGCAUCGACGUAUGCAUACGGCGGUGGUGGUGGUGGUGGUAGUGGAUAUGUAAUCUUCUCUUGGUGUUCAUUCAUUUAUGUUAAUGUGAUUCUUUCCCUCUUCUUUUGUCAGAAGUAAAUGAUCUAUGCUACCAUCUAAGCUUCUAAGCUUCUCAAAAAGGUUAUGGCUGCAGAACAAUUGCCGAUCAAACGCCAUUAAUUGCGUUAUGCUUUGUGCUUUGCCAAGAAGAGAGCAAUCAUCAGUUGAAGAAACUGGUGAUCCCUUUGCUCAUCAUGGCUUGUAGUUGAUUCAUUCAAUGCAUGAAGACAACAAUGAGUUGGCAAUGCUGGCUCAACAUGGCCUUGCUGUUCGCAUGGCUUCUCAGGUUCCACAGGGUCCCAUGCCAUCAAUUAUAGCAUGCUUGUUGCUCCUCCUCUAUAAUGAGUGCCCUCAAUCAAUGUUCGAGGUCGAUAGGAAUUAGAACCUUUACCUUUUGUUGGUUUCAUGUGGAACUACAUAAAGAGUUGUAGUGAUGGGGGAAAUAUCACUUGUCAACCAUAUAUACCAUUCAUUUAUUUGCUAAAUGUUCAUUUCUAAAAGCUUAAAAACUUAGUUUAUAAGUUCGUCGGGUCUCUCUAUACUUGAAGAUAAUUAUUGGUGCUCACAUCGCUCAGUACAACCAUCGCUCAUUCUAAUUGGUAGUUGAGACUUUAACUUAUAUAGGCACCCUUUUAAAAUGUAAUAUGGUGUAAAAAAAAUUAGGUUUUGAUAAAUAUUAAAAAUUAAGUUUUCAGUAAUCUUAAGUAUAUACUUAAGCUAUUAAGGAAAGGAUCCAAUUUAUAUUAAUUUUUUUACACCCUCAGUUGUCUACAAGCUGGAUUUUUUUAAUAAAAAAUAGAAAAAAAUAAUUAUGUUAAAUAAUAUACAUGGCAUUGAUAUUAUUUAUGCAAUAAUACACUAAUAAAUUCGGAUGUCUCAACAGAGACCACAAGUUGGAUUAGACUUGGCAAAUAAAAUUGAAUAAAAAUAAAUGAUGUGUAAAAUAAAAAUAAACGUAUACAUAUAUUGAUGUCAUGAUCUGCCUAUGGUAUCAUGAUAAAUAUUUUAAUUUAGUCACCAUUAAUCCUUAAAUUAUUAGGAAAUGACUCAUGAAUAUAAUCAAAUGAGUAGGUAUUUCAAGUAUAUGCCUUUAGAAUUUAAAAUGAUGAUGUAUACCACCAAGUAUUUAUUUUAAAGAGAUAUGCAUGUAUUUGAAAAGGAGUGAAAUAUUAAUAUGAUUUUGAAACUUCUGGAUUUCAGAUAUGAAAGAACACAACAUAUAUUGUUCAUAGAGUAGGGUUCAUUGCAUGUACAACCAAAAACUUGAUCUAAGUUUUAGUAAAAAUUGAUAUUUCAUGUAGGUGGGUAUGUAUAAAACCUCUCUCUCUCUCUCUCUCUCUCUCUCUCUCUCUCUCUCUCUCUCAUACACACAUACAUUCUAUAGACAUGAUGGAAUACAAGGAUCACUGAGCAUGAAUCUUUGAUGCAGAUCGAAUGCAUAUAAACAAGGGAUUCAGUGUCACUGGCAAGUUGACAAGGACAUGGAAGCUACUCUUCUAGCUAUAUGAAAAUGACAAUACUGCAAUUAUCAGCCUUCCUCUCUCAUGGUCAGUAUCAAUACACAUCUCUCAUAACUGGCUCAGCAAAGAUAUCUUUCCCCCUUAUUUUUCUUGAUUCUUUUUCUUGGUUGUUUGCAUGGCAUUUAGUCUUCCAUGCCUGACCAGAGUGGAUCUGUGGUCGACCUUUUCCUGACAAUUUGGACCUUCAAAUCACCUCCUUGUCAACAUCACUACCUCCGAUUUGCUCAAACAAUUACAGAAUAGGGUAAUAAAUUAGUGAUGAUUGAGUUGUUCUCUGUAUCAUCAAACAUUUCUCUGUUUCAGUUCCUUUGUGCAGAAUAAGCGAAGCAGAGAGUGUGUGUUGACAGUGUGAGAGAGGGAAACAUGAAACCAAGCUUUAGGCAACCACAGAAAGAAGCUGAAACGAGCACUGUAUUCGGCUGUAAUUUGAAGAGCAAGUAGAAUUAUUGCCAUGCAAGGCAGCUUUACAACGUGAUCUUAUGGCAUGCAUUUCCACAAACACAUGUAAUCUAUAGCAUUUAUUGUCGAGAAGAGUGAUCGAUCAAGCACUUGCAAUGUAUCCUCCAAAUGAGAUGUGUGCCCUCGUCAUGGGAGCUCCCCUCGCGGCUGACAGUGCCUGGUUUAGCCUUGCUGCCUGUUGCACAACCUCCUUCAUUCUCUGCAAUCACAUCACACAAGAGGAACUUAGGAUGGGAUUAGAUUAUCUUAAUUGAUCGAUGAGCAGUACCUUAUCGUGGGUGUAGAUCUUGAACUGGAUCUUAGGUUUCUGAUGCUGUCGGCAGCCAAGGAUGAAGAUGCAGAUAGUAGCAGCAGCAGCUGCUGCUGCUGAUGCUCCCAUGGCGCAGAAGGCUCCAAUACCUGUCGAUCUCCAAUUCCCCGGAGGAGGAAACCCGAAGCCUUUGAUCUCGGAUCCUGCAUGAUCUUUCUCUUCUCCCUCUUCCCUGACUUGCGAUUCCACGUCUGGUGUGACGACGCCGAUGUCUUUGAAUCCUUUGGCUUCAGCAUCAUCAUCUGAGUUAUUCUCCAUGGUUGGCUCUGAGUUCUGCUGCUGCUCCAAGAAAGAUUGUGAUGGGCAGAUGAAGUAAUUGGCAUCAAGUGUGAGCUCCUUGAGCACCAAAUCAUUUUGACUGCCAUGGCUGAAGUCCAGCAAGCUCUUGUCAUCAGGGAGGAACUCCCAGUCAUCGAGAUCCCUCUCCAGGCAAGAUUUCUCCAUGUGAUCAGAAUUAGGGACGACUGUGUGUGUGUGUAUGAGAGAGAGAGAGAAGAGAGAAGAGAGAGAGAGAGAGGACUUAUCCUUCCACCUGCCAAGACUUUUCCUAUAAAUCUAAUUCCCAACUUUUGUUUGACGACUUGCAGAGGAGGAAUGAGUUCUAAUUCCUCGAACAGUUCUUGUGCAUGAUUGGGCUGUCUGCCAGUCUCUGUCUUGGUCUCUCUCGCUCUCUCUGCUUCACACAUUAAUUCCAAUAUGCACAGUUAAGGUUUGGGUUCGUUCGAGCGUCACGAGUUGGUUGCGGCAAGGCGAUUCGAAAUGGGUGCGCCACAUGAACCGGGCGACUCGGGCGUGCGGCUCAAUUAAAUCAGGGAUUGGGUUCCGUUGAGCUCGAAGUAGUUGAUUGGGCUGAACCAUUUCAGCCAACUAAAUCCUUCCCCAUGACGCGAACCGGAAAGGACGAACCAUUGCUGCCCCUCACCCGCACGAACUGUCGCUGCCCGAGCCGCUCUCCUCCCUGUCGAGCAGCUGCUCACCCCUCCGGCGGUACCUCUCUCUCUCUCUCUCCCUACUUCCCUUCACUCUUCUCCCUUUUCCACCAGCAGCCGCCGCCCUCUCUGCCUCAGGCAGCCCUUUGGCGCCUCCGUUCUCUCUUCCCCAGCCGCCGCCAUUGUUGAUGCACCGAUGCCUUUUUUUGCUGAUGUGAUGCCAUUGGGUGCAAAUGUCACGUUUAUAUGAAAAUUAGGAAGAUUUCGACACACUUCAAAAUAAAACAUGAUGAAAAUUCUAAGUUUUUUUAAUCCAAAUAUUUUAGUAGCCUUAUAAUAUUUGUGACAAUUUACUGUGAGGGAACGAAAAUAAAAAAAAAGAUAAUAUGUUAUUUUAUUGUAAUAGUUGGAAAUUCGGCUUAGCUCAGAUUAGAUUUCAAUGGAAAACCUAUUUUCUUAAAAGGAUUUAUAUUUUUAUGUCAAAGAAAGAAACCCUCUUUGGGGAAUAUAGGAAUGUAAGCCCUAAUUUAUAUAUUAUAUUUGCCAAAUAUGAAGCUUUUCCCAUGAAAUUUUAAUCUUGCGUCGGAAAUGAUAUUGUAUUUGUCAAUGCAUGAUGGAGUGGGGACAGAACUGGAAUUUACGUAUAGGCUCCACUCUGCCUCGAUGGGCCGGGCUUGAAAUAAAAGCCCAUUAAGACAAUGCUACGAUUGGCCCAUUACAUGCUCCUCUAGGGUUUCGCUUCCCUCCCCUGCGGUCGGUUUCGCUUCUGGAUAUCUUAGCACGGGCGACAGCGCAGAGAGGGGUGUUUGGUUCCUUUUCCUCGAGCUCGUCUCGGUAGGUUGUCAUCCUUCCCGAUCACAUUACUCUUCUUGGCUUCUCUUUGAUUGGUUGCUGCGAUGUUUUUGAGUUUUGGCGAUAUGCAAUUGUUCUUUCUUUCGCGUUUCUUGGUCUUUCAUCGUCUUCAUCAGAUCAAUUUGUACAGCAGAUAAUACUUGCGUUCCCGUCAUUCUUUAAAGGUUUAGUUGUUUGCUUGCAACUUAGAAGUAGGUCAUCUAAUGCCAUGCAGUACUAAUGUGGAAGUUGCCUUUGUGCGUGCGUGAGAGAGAGAGAGAGCAGUCCGCGUUGUAGGACACGAAGGCCACAAGAACAUGUCAAUAUAAAACCCAUUUGUCUGCUAAAGUCCACAGCCUAAAAGAGGGGAAUCAGCCACCAUAGCAGUUGGAAAAAUGUACUGCUUUCAUUAGAUGGGGGUUGAACCUUAGACCUCCAGUGAUGGAUGAGAGAUGCUAUACCAUUCAAGGAUAAGAGAUACUGGAGAGGUUACUACUGUUGUUAGGAUUGUCAUUUAUUUUUAAUACAUAAUGAAAAGAAAAUUUUGUGAAACCGAAUGGCUCAAGUUUGAGCCCAACAAUCUAUUCUAUGUUUUCUUCACAAUAAUGCAUUUGUUUUGCUCGUAGUGGCAGCCAUAGUAAAGAUUGAAGAAUCAAGUUUGAGAUCAACAAUGCAUUUCCUGCAAGAUAACGGAAUUGUAUACCCAUCAAAAUUUUGUUGUAGAAUCUUUUACAAGUUCCUCCAAGGAAAAUUCUAACUUGGCUUUGUUCUAAAAUGCAUGUUUUUUUGUAUAACUCAGUUUAAUUGUGUCUAUGAUGGUUCACUUAACUUAAGAUUUUCUUGCUACAUAUAUGGUUCCUUAUGUUAUUUGCAUGAUGCAAAAAAAUUGUAAGAAAUAUUGAAAAAGAAUUGUUGAUGCGCUGAUGCAUUUUUUUGCUGAUGCGAUGUUAUUGGGUGCAAAUGUGGUUACCUGUGUCAUUUUUUGUUCAAUAUGUCAUGUUUAUAGAUCAGUCUUGUGAUAUGCAGGAAUAAAUUGACUCCUGAGUUGCAUACAAGAUGAGAUUAGAAAAGUGUUGGUUCUGUUCCUCAACCAUUUAUCCAGGCCAUGGAAUUCAGUUUGUUCGAAAUGAUGCAAAGGUAAGGCCAUGUUUUCCGAAUUAAUUCAUCUGGAAGACUGGUUUCCAGGCUUCUUCAAAAGAAAGGUGUUAUAAUAUAAAAUUGGGAGACUUGUACCAUUUGAAAAUAUGAUUGUUACUCAUAGUACUACAAACUUGGUUGUUUGUGUGACUCUUGUGCUUUAAGCUCCUUCACUAUUAUCUGACAGACUUGUACUAAUCCUUUAUAUGUCAUAAAUCUUAACCCUAUUAUGAUAUUAUUUUAAUUGCAUGUUAUUUCAGUUUGCUCUCUUCGUUCAUCUAUAUCUAAAUUGGUUAUAUCCAUCUUUCAUUAUGCAGAUGUUGUUUUGAUCUACAAAUCAUGCUUUCAUGAUGAAAUCAAAAUGGCCCUAAAUGGUCCUAGUUCAUUACUUGGAUUAUGAUUUCAUAUGAUUGUAACAGAUAAGUCUUUAUUGUUGGUGAGAGAAUGCCAUAGAUUUCAAGAUUGAACUUGAUUAUUUUCUUUUAUGUACACACACACACACACACACACACACGUGUUCUCAUUCUUUUGUUCAUUAAAUUUUGAUCUCUUGUUUCCUUUUGUUUUUUAUAUUUUCUGAAUUGCUUGAGCUUUAGAAAGGACAAGGAGAAAGGAACCCAAUGAUCCACAAUUUGAUUCAUGAUCUGAUAUAAUCUUUGUUAGGUGUAAUGCAUUCAUAUUUUUCUGUUCAUCAAGUGUUUGGCUCUUAUUUACUAUUAUUUUCAUGUUUUCUCAAUUGUUUGAGCUUUAGAAAGCACAAGAAGAAAAGAAUCUAUCUCUCAUGAACCCUCUUAGUGAUUCUUAUCUGAAGUAAAGUAGUCUUUUUCUUAGUUUUUAUGAUUUUUUUAGAAUUCUAAAUUAUUUUCAUGGAUUCCACUGAUCUGAUUCAUUAAUCAGACUGAUACUGAUCGUUCUGCCAUCGUAAGAUCUCAAUCCCUAUUUUGAGCGAUGGGCUUCUUACAGAAUUCUAGCAUGCAUUAUGGUCUUUUUAGCUUACCAGCAGUCAACAAGAUGCCAUGGAAACAGGUGUAGUCCAGUGCUUAUUGGAUGAACAUGCCUCAUUCAGUUUUAUGAAAAUAGAUGCUAUACAAAGAAUUUACUUUAAAACCCAGUCAAAUGAAGGCAUUAUGUUCAGUUUCAUCAAAAUAGAUGCUGUACCAUAUGUCAAGAUGAGAUUGGGGUUGAUUUUGAUCAGAUCUGUGUUAAAGAAAAACUGAUCUUGAUGUCCCAACAGAUUGACAUAAGUCAAUCCGUAAGUGCACGAGUUCCAAUAUGAAAACCUGAUUCAUUUGGUUUGAUUUGGUUAGUCUUUCAUGUUUUCCAAUGUUUGGACUCAUGACAGUAGUACAGUGGUGAAAAAAAACCCCAUUGGAGAAGAAUGAAAUAGAACAUGAAACUGUGGGCUCCUGUGUAGUGGGAGGAGAUUUUAUGAUGAGAUAAUAUCUAAACAUUCUAUGUUUUAGAUGAUCAGAUUGCGUCAUAAGUAUAACGGAUGGUUGUUGACUGGCAUCUGAUCCAAUUAUGAAUUAGACAAUCAGAAUAGUUUAAUUGGAUUGUACUGAUAAACAAUCAGAUUAAGAUUUGUUCCAAUAAACAGUUCAAAUUUGUUGAGAUAGCAUCAUAUCUGAUCCAUUGAAAGACAUCUUUGGGGAACUAUAUGAAGUAAAAGCUACAUAGGAACUUAGAGCCAACAUUCUUCAUUUUGUAUGCCAAGUUGUGCAGAAUAGCUUAAGCCUAUGGCUCCGCUGCUUCUGAUGAUUUAUAUUAUCAAGGUUCAGUUAUGUAUACAUACAGUUUGUAUGUCAGCCAUGGUUUGUGAAGUCUAAUGCGCAUGAAAACAUUAUUAGCCUAUAAUGUUGUUUGCUAGUUCCUAUUGUCAUCGAUGAAAGUUCUUUUGCAGAUAUUCCGAUUCUGCCGAUCAAAAUGCCAUAAGAAUUUCAAAAUGAAGAGAAAUCCUCGCAAGGUGAAAUGGACAAAGGCGUAUAGGCGAUUACAUGGGAAGGAUAUGACUCAGGUUAGAAAUGCUAGUGUGAUACUUUUUUCUGUGUUUCUUUGUUUAAGUUGCUGAAAUUGCAUGACACGAUGACUAUCUAAUGACUGCUAUCCCUGUUAAGGACUCGACAUUUGAGUUUGAAAGGAAGCGUAACAGGCCUGAAAGAUAUGAUAGGAAUGUCACAGAGAUGACGCUGAAGGCUAUAAAGAAGAUUGACAAGAUCAGAGUGACCAGGGAGGCUCAACACCACAAAAUGAGGUUGGUUUCCGUUACGAGUGGUAUCCCAUUUUCUUCAAUUUGCAAUUUAUAUUCUGAUAUGCCAUACUCAUAUAUCUCACAGGAUGAAGGGUAAUAAAGCAAUCGAGCAAGAGGCGGCAAUUAAGGAGUUGGAGAACAGUAUUAAUUUGGUCAAAGCACCUGCUGCCCUGCAGCAGGGAUCAGAAAUUACUCUUCCAAAGAUCAAAGUCAAGGUUUCUCAAUCACAAGAUGUGGGAGAGCGAAUGGAAGAAUAAUGGUAAUCUGGACAUUCAUCCAUCCUCCAAUUUAAAAGUGCCAUAUUAAGUUUUUGUUUUCUUUUGUGUGUUUGCACAGUUUAUGAGUGGGUGGUUCCUUGGAACAUUCUUCUACUGAAAGAUGGAUGGAUGCUUUGCCAUGGAUGUAGCUGAAAUAGUAGUUGGGAGAACAACAUUUUGUGCUUAAUUGUCUUGGUUGGUAAUGGAUGGUUUUUUUUUUUUUGUUUUAGUGGACACGUUAUUUGAUCACAUUAACAGAAAGCUUCUGAUGCAGCUCAAAAAGAACAUGGAAUGGUUGCAAUCUUCGCAUUUCGUGAUUGAUUGAUAUUACUAGUGUUGUUGUCAUCGAGCGUUUCCCGCCCCGACGAGGUGAGUCGAGUGCCUCAGAAUUGGUCCGAGAGGGCAAAUUGAAGCAGGUGUGGUUUGGAGGAUUGAUUGAUUGGGCUCACCCCAUGCGUGCGAGCCCUAUCGACACCACCACCUUGUGUCGCGCGAUUCGACAUGUGGUGGCCCUUAGGCACGUUGUUGCAUAUACCUUUUGCAACCGAGAAGAAACCUAACCUAAACUGUGAUCAAUUCAUCUGCAUGGCCCUUAGCCCUUGGGCUCGUGGGGGCCCGUCCGACGUUACCUUCUCCCCUCUCAUGAGGGGCAGAACCCUCCCUCCUCAUCCUCUUUUUUUACUCCAUCCUAUUUUUUUUUUAAUAUAAUAAUAAUAAUAAUAAUAUUUCUAUUUAAUUAUAAUUUUUAUAUAAUUUUAAUAUUUAUGAAUAUUUUGCUUGUACUCAAAGCGACAACUUAGCGCCUCCAGCCUAUCCCUACCCUCUUUCUCCUCCAUCGUUGUCCUCUAUCAAGCCUGCCUCCCAACAGUCUCACCCUCCCCCCUCUCUACUCGGUGCUUCUUCCGUCGACCAAUUUGUGUGUUGAACGGAUCUAUUUGAAAAAGUAUAUAUAUAUAUAUAUANNNNNNNNNNNNNNNNNNNNAUAUAUAUAUGCUCGAGCGAGAGCACCUAACGCCUAUGCCUAUAACGAUCAUAAGCACAUGUAACUGACAGCAUGUAUCGCUGCUUUAUUAUCAUCUGCUAAAAAGGUCUUGCAAUCUUAUUUCUUGAAUUCAUCUGCAUUGCACAUGAAACCUUGUAAGCUCAAUUCUCAAAAGGUGAGUAUCGUGAUCUUGCUCCUGCAUAAUUGGAUCCGUGGGAUGUCAGUGUGUUUCACUUCACCACAGCGUCGUAAUCAAAUUGAUAUCAUUCAAGCUAAGUCGGAUAAUUAACUCAGGUGUCAUAUUCUCUACCACCUACCCCCCACCCAGCACUCCUGGGAAUCUAUCUGAUGAACGAGAGAGAACUGUUAAUCGAACACUGUGUAAGAAGACUUUAGAAGCUUCCUAUGGUAGGAUAGGAGGAAGAAAGAAGCUUUACGGGAAGGGAUAACAAUAAUGUGGACUUCUUUUUGUGUUUUUAUUCGAACCAUAAACAACUUUAGGGACUUAAUAUCUAAUGCCACACUUUUAUUGUUCCUGUGGCAAUCACAAGAACUCGAAACGGCCCAAAGUUGCAGUCACAAACAAUUUAGUGAAGUCUAGUACAGGACAAAUCUUUUGCGGCAUCUAUUGCCAGUUAUCAAUCAGGAGACCCUGUCGUUUGACACAGCUAAGAAUCCACCAGUCGAAAGUUUUGAGUCAGGAACUCGUCUAUCAUUUAACUCAACAAUAAAAGUUUUUGUGGCAUGAAAUGGAAGUAGUGCAGAGUGACUAAAAAUGAUAUCAGUGGUGUGUCAUCUACAGAAGAUUAGUGAUACCAGGGAUAGCAUAUUACCACAAUAAGACUGUCUUUUGACACAAAGCUAAGAAUCUACAAGUAAAAAGUAAGGCCAAUGUUCUUCAUGAAUCAAAUUCCAACAAAGUUUUACCAGUCAGGAAGAACUCAUUAAUGUCUAUAACAUUUGUCCCACAACAACAAAAGUAUUUGUGGCUUGAAAUAGCAGUGUAGUGCAGAGUGGCGAAUACUAGUUGUAUGUCAACUACAGAAGAUCACUGAUGCUAGGAUAGCAUAUUACCAUACCAGUUAUGUACUCAAUGCCCCUUCAGGUUUCGUUUAAUGGAACCUCUGGUUUUGGAAGAGUCCGAGCGUGGCUGAGACCUCAUCCUUCCUGAGUCAUGUGGUCGCUCAGUUGAUGGAAGCACCCAUCCUCUUGUGUGCUUUUGACUGCUGUUGUUACCACUCCCUACACGACCACACAUGGAUAUAGAGUUAAACAUCAUUGGGUUAAUAUGGCAGAGCAAUUAAGCCAUGCAAAAACAAACUAAAAGAUUAUUAGGCUUUUCUGUUAAAAAAGAAACAGUCACAAAGAAAGGAGUCAAUUUCAAAGGGUCAGUAUGACUGAUGCAUUAAUCAAGGUUGACAAAAGCAAAAUCCUAAAAGGAAUAAGUUGUUUGCAACCAAAGAGCCCACAAGUAGCAGUGGCCAACAAAUGCAUAGGCCACAGAAAAUUGUUAUAAAUGAGGUUGUUUGGAUUCUGCAUAUAUAGUUGCUCUUUAACUAAAGAACAGGAAUGGCAACUGGUCUUCAAAGGCAUAGAAGCAAGCAGAAGUUGUGCAAACUGUAAAGGAGGUAAGAAGCAACACGAGGUAAUGAGUGAGAGGAGAGAAAUAUCAAAAUACAAACUUUACCUUAACCCUAAAAAUGUGACAUGUAGUAUUUUGAAUUGUAAGUCUGUAUGAGGGUUUAGUUUCAUAUGCACAUGUUGCAAGUGACUUAGAGACAAGCAAAUGCUUGCAAAUGUAUUAACUACCAGAAGAAAAACUUACAGGCAGUUCACUUGCAGGGAACCAAACACCCCGUAGUGAAUGCUUAAAGUGAGAGACUUAAAAAAGGCACACAUAAGUGAAGCAAGGUGUACUUAUUUUCAAGCAUCAAAGAAAAAGGAAGAGCAAUUCUAGAGUCCACGUAUUCCAAAAUCCAGUCCAUGGUCAAGCAAGAAACAACUGGUGGAUAUUGAUGGCCAGGCAAGCGGUAGCAAUGGCUGUCACCAUGCUACUGCUUUUGCCAAGCAAGAUGAGCAGCUUUUGCCACCAAGCCAAGAAAGGAGCAGCCACUGCUUCAGUUGACCACUGCAGUUGCCAGCAUCCCAAGUGACACUAAUCUAGCAUCCUGAAAGGUGGGAGGAAAAAGAAGAGAAAUAGGAACAAUUAAUAAAAAUUUUGCUCAUCAUUGUAACCCAUCCACAGAAUAUCAACUGGCCACCUUUGGAACCAGCAGAUCAUGGAUUGCCAAUUAUUUUCUCCUGAUACUGAAUUACGACCUUGUUGUUGUUGUUGUUAUUGUACACAGGAUACUGUCAAUUUUGAAACAGGAAUUGAUGUAUGGGUUCACAGAUGGGUCAACCAGGGGCAUUAAGUGUACAGUGGUUGCUUGAUACUGUUAUGAAUGUACAGUUGCAACGGCUUUGCCUAGAUGCAUUAGAAGAGGCUUUGGCUCACAUUAAACUCACCCAAGUGCAUAGGUGAGCCAAGCAUAUGCCUGAUUUAACACAGGUAUAUCAUGUUAAUCCUGAACCAACUCAACAGACAGCGCCCUUGCUAAAACCUUUGCAGAACAAAGAUUUCAUCGUGAAGCCAUUCAAAUUCUAAGCAUAAGAAAAUCAUUGUAUUAGUCACAGUGAUGAAAAAGAUCAUUUUAUCAAAUAUUUUAUUGACACUUCUUUUUGGUGUUUUGUAUUGACAAUCACCUACCAGUCGACCACCAAAACCAUACUGUCGAAUAAUAGUGCAUGCGGCCACCACCAAUCCAUUAUCAAACAGAAGCUGAGUAGGAUCUUACAACAUACUGCAUAGACUAUUCUAUGCACCACAUCAGAGGCCAUCAUAACCCUUAAAAGCAACCAAAUUUCAACUAAAUUAAGUUCUUCGGUGAAAAUAUACAGGAUAAUAUAUUCUCUUAGGAAAAUUUCCAAGUUCAUCCUGGAAACAAAUUAGAGGAACAUUGGUAUUCUCUUCAUCCAGCUUUUGUGCAUUUGAGUGCAGCAUGCUUUUAUGAUAAUGAAGUAACUCAUACUACAAGAGAAAGUAUAAAAUGUCAUUGAGAACUAAAAUUAAAAGAAAGGAGCAAUGUAAAAACGUGCAUCAUCUGACAUUUCACUCGUUCUUGAAAAUUCUUCACUUGUACAAAAGAUUUUGCUGAUUGACUAACCUAGUUCAUCAUGGAAACAAAGUAGAGAAGCCUUGGGUUUUUUUUUCCAAUAGAUUCUAUGCAAUUGAGUGCAGGAAAGCUACUGUGAUACUGGAGCAACUCAUAUUUGGCCAAUUGACAUUGACUAGAGCAAGAACAUUACAAUUGAAAAGUAUGGACAAAUGUCAUUGAACACAUUACAUACUAGUUUUCGAAGAUCUUCACUAGUCCGUAGGUUUUAUCUUAUGUCUAAUCUCUUAAUUUACUACCUAUCUAGAGCAGAACCAAUAUUCAUCAAAAUCCAAUGGGAUUUCAAAUUUUAUACUGCUCCACUAGCAUUCCUUCCUAUUUGGAACUCCCAAUUAACGUGACCACAUGCACAUAGACAUGGAAGUAUGGUGCUGAUAUUAUGUGAACAAGACUUAAGAGAAAAAGUUUAACGUUACAGUAAAACCGAUCAUAAGAAAGGAACUUCUCUACCCUCAGAAUUAGACAAUCUACAACAACCCCAAUGCACCAUGGGCAUUGCUAAACUACCAUGAAGAUUAAAAUUUUCUAUGUAACAUGCCCUAGCUAAUUUAACAAUCUCAUCAAAAAUUGAAAAUACUAUUUUAACAAUGUUACUUUCGUAUAGGGCAUGCCAUUCUAUUAGGGAGAGGUAUACAGCUACACAAAGAUGCAUGACAAAAAACCUUUUUACAAAUUAUAUUUUUAGAAAGUACGAAGAUCAACCUAAACUAGUAUGUCUUGAUGCAACAUAGUGACUUUUCAUUUGAACUUCAUUCAACUAGCCCCCUAGAAUUUGGUGUCUCUUGUUAAACCUCUGCAUUUCAUUUUUUUUUCCUUUUGUUCUUCCUCUUCCAGAACUACUAUCAACUCCUCUUCAUCACUUUAUAUGGUGUCUUCCUUGCACUUCUCCUCGACAUAGGCUAAUACUGCUAUUGUUGUCUUCAUCUAUUUCUAUUAUAAUUUUGACUAUUAUUGUGUUAUCCAUGAUGUCAAUAAAAAGUUAACUAUAUAUCCAACACAUUUAGAAUGUUCUAUCGAAACAUAAAAGAAACCCAUAUAACUAGAAACCCAAAGAGCUAAGGGAUGAUAGGGCAAUAUAGCAUAUGAGGCUCUUACCGAUCUGGGCCCAAGAGGAUCACCCUUGCAAGCAAAGAUGUUGUUUCUAUAACUCUAAAUAUUGGGCACCAAGUCCUCGAAAGGUGCAAUUUUACAAUAGUGCUAAGGCUCAUUAACGCAUGGAGACAAACGGCUAUUGCCCAAUAAUAUCAGAGUAUGGUAAAUCCAAUUGAUGCAAAUGACAAGUGCAUGGCAUGACAAACCAAAAUCUCAAGGACUUGAUCAUCCAGAGGAAUGGUUGGAGAUAUUGGACAUCAGAAUACUCCAGAACUAUAUUUUACUCAAGGGAGCCACUAUGUGUUUAGAGGUUAUGAUCAGGCACAAAACAUACAUAUAUCAUCAUUGGUGGAGCCCUGCAACAUGAUGUGGAAGCCAUGCGAAGAAAUUGCAACAUGACUUUCCUUCAAGGGAAAGGACCUACUUUGAGAACACAUGCAGCAGUGUGAACUAGCUAAUCAAAAGGGGCAAGGAAAUGACAGUUAGCAGGACUCAACUAGCUAACAAGUGCAUCGGAUAUUUUGUAUUGAACACACAUCAAUACCAAUGCAAAAUUAACAAAAACUAUCCAACAACAAGAACUUAAUGGGAAGUAGUUCUUUAUUAUGAAAUCCAACAUAACACCUAGUACAUAAACCAAGAAGAAGCCACAAAAUUAUAUGUUAAUAUGCUCUCAUAUAUUUAUUUUCUCACUUCAUGCAGGAUAUUAACCAUAGUGCUCCAUGAAUAACAAUAUACAGAAGACCACAACAUAUUGUAACUGGCUACAUAAUCAAAUGCAGAAAAAUCAUUCAAUAUAGUUCAGUCUUAAGUUAGUUAAUCCGAAAAAUAACUACUUACUUAAGUUCCGAUCAUCAAGCAAAUCAAGUCCUGGCUUCCAUCCAGGCAAGUGUUGUUUAGCAUUCCCCUUCCAGUCUUCCUCGAAAACAGGCAGCUCAUCUGAUGGUUUAAAGCAAAUUGCAGUUAAAUGAAAUAAACAAAGAAUAUAAUCAUCCUCUUAGCUGCAGCACAAAAUUGUGCCAGACCUUCAUUCAAAUUAUGUAAUGUCUGUAGUGUGUCUACCCUCCCAUCUGAAUUUAGUUUUCUUGUUAGUGAGUGACCCUACAAAGACGAUGAAAAGGGUGCCUUAAGUAAUAUAGCAUAUAAACUACAUUUAACAAAAAAUGAUUCAUUAUAAUCAAGUAUCUCGAAAGUAUAUUUAAUGUGAAAAAUAAUCUAUGUUCAUAUGUACUUUGUCACGGAUCCCUCGAGAAAUCCUGUGUGUAGCUCUACCGGUAGUAGUAUCGGCCUCCUUGUUCUCCUCCAUAACAAACUGUCAUAGUCAAGAAGGGAGGUAGUACUAAUAUAAAUAAUCAGAAGAUCAUUACAGUCAUGCAAUGUUCCAAACAAAUUUACAAAAACAAAAAAAAUAGUGCAUUAGUUCACUAAGCCUGAUUACUCACUCCAUCACCACCCAUUCUCCUUGUAGUAGAUGAAGUGUAAUAUGCUCCAUUUGGACCACCAUAAGUCACUGUUGAGCUCUGGAAAGUAAUAGAGUGACUAUGUGAUUGCAUCCUAUCAGACUGGUUGAAGUUGUUCACAUAUUGCAUACGCCUUCUCUUAUUUGCUGCAAAAACCAAACCUUCUCAGGAAUCUUGCACCGCUUAGAAAUAUUAUCAUUUUGAACCCUACAACUACUAUGAAAAAGGGAACCAACAGAUAAGUCUAUACACCUUCAACUACUUCAUCAGGAUCCUGAACAUACGGCUCUUUGCUUGUUCUAGAAUGUUUUCUUGGGUUCUCUUUCUGCUCCUUGUCAGUCUCUUCUCCUCCAUUAUCAUCAUCAGACAGUUCUUGAAUGAUCGGACCCUUUGACUUAUUGACAUAAGGAGCCUGCUCCAAGAACCCAACUCUACUGGUCUCUCCAAAAACGCUCCCUCGAUCAGCAAACAUGCUGGGACCAAACAUGCUUGGUCGGAACAUGCUAAGGCCCAUCAAGCUUCCAAAAGGCUGCGUGAAGAAAGGGUCAUCGAAGGGAUCUCUCCCACCAAAAAAGCCAGAAAUCAGACUCCCUGGUCUGCUGAGGCCACCAGAUCCAGCAAAUGGAUCCCCAAAACCAAAGAAGUCACCCAUACCGCCUCUGCCAUUCUGCAUAUUCUCUGAACAUAAAUCUGAACACAUGGGAAAAAACCGAGACUGUUCAAGAAAAUGUAAAUGUUACACUAAACAAAAGGAAAAACGCGAUCGAUGAGAGAAACGAAACAAGAUCUUUUUUGUUUUCCCAACAUAUUGGUUGAAUCGAUUAAAACCAUGACAGAACAAACCAAUUGCAUAAAAAUCGAAAAUGUCAAACCCAAUAAUUCGGCUUUAUCCAUUAUCCAUAUGUGACAUUUCUCCAAAAUCCAUUCUCAAAGCCCAUUUAUUCAGUUAUCAAGCAGGCAGAAUACCAACAAAACCAAGUGAUACAAGAACACGUCAAUAGGGAACCAACAGAAACGAGAAAAACGGAAAAAAAAAAAAAAAAAGUGUUUUCAAAGAUGAUCAAUAGAUCAAAAUACUACAUUUUUCAUACCGACUAAACGAAAACCAAAACACCAGCAACCAAAUCCAAAUAGACCGAACUCCUAACCCACAUCGAAUGGAAAGCCAAAGUACCCUAACAGCAGAUCCGAAUCGAGGGUAGAAGUCUCGAUCAACACUUCCAUGGGAACCCUAGAAAACGUUUGGGUACACGAUCCGAGGAAAACAGAUUAAAAAAAAAAGGAGAAUGAAGAAAAUUACGGACCCCGAGAGAUCGAAUCGGAGCGACGUGGCCACCGGUGGCGGCCAACUCGAUCGGCAAGCCUCGGAGAUCGUAAUCGAGCGCCCGAUCUGUGGGAGACUCGGGAGCGAUCGACGACGAAGACGAGAGGUUUCCGCGUCGUCUUAUAACUGGAGCAGGAAGCAACUUAAUGGAACCGACAGAAUAAGAAAAAAAAAAAAACAUUCAUUAUAUUUAUUAUAGUAUUACAAAGGGCGAUUUUAUUUUUUUUCAAAAAAAUACUUUCUAUUAUUUCUCAAAUAGUAUUCCUAAUUUUUAUAAUAUUUUUAUUUAACUUAUUUAUAUUUUUUUAAUAAUAUUAUAAUAUUUGAUUAAGUUAUUAAAAAUAUUAAAAAUAAUAUAUUAUUAUACAUAUUAUAUCUCUUUAGUUGUGAUUGCUCGUACACCAUUAUAAUAUAAAAUUUUUAGACUUUAAUUGAUUUGAUUGAGAUUAUGGAUCUAUUUAUAUCAUCUAUAUUAUUUUUGUUAAAUACUGUAGUAGAUCAAAUCACUAUAACAAGCUAAAAUACUAUAAUUGAUUAAAAAAAGUAUCAUUAAGUUGGUGAGAAGUAUUUUGGAUAUUAUUUAAAACAAGAGACACCAUUUGAGAAAAUUAAAAACAAGAGAUAUUUUUGGGAAUUUUUUUUCUAGGAAAUUACCCUAUUAUAAAUGACCAAUUUCUUGUAUUUUUAGCAAAUAAUACUCCUCAUUACUAAAAUGGGUAGUGGGAUCCAUCGUUUAUUCAAAAAUACUAUAAUGGAGUAAUGUCCAAUUUUUUUUCUAUUAUCAUCCUUUAACAACAAAUAAACAUAUAUAUAUUAAAGAUUUUCCAAAGUAAAUUCCUAAACUUAGAAUUAGGCAAAAAAAUUAAAAAUUUAAAAUAUAUCAAAACCUUUAUAAUUUUUAUCCAAAUAUACUCAAGUUCUCGUUCAAAUAACUUUAUAAUACCUCCAAUUGAAUAAUGAAGUUGAUAAUUAUAUUAAUUUUUAAUAUUUUUCAAUAAACUUAUUGUCUUCGUUUCAUAAUCAAAGACAUAGUAAAUCAAUUUGAUUUACUACUAAAUUGAUCUAACCAAGUCAAUCUAAUUAGAUUUUCAAUGAAAAAUCUAAAACAUAGAUGUUGUAAGUUUAUCAUUUCCGGAAAAAAAAAAGAAAGAGGUAAGACUGUCUUUAGGCAUAUGAAAAUAGGAUAAAUUAUUCGUAAAAAAAUCUAAAUAGUUGAAGUUCUAAGUAUAUUUUGUACAUACACAAAUUCUAAAUAUUAAUGAUAAAUCAUUAAUGUUUUUUCUUAAUAUACAUAAGCUAAGUGUUCACUUAAUAUCCUAAGCAAAACGAGUGAAACAAGCAAAAAGGGAAAGCAAGAGCCAACUACACAUUCACAAUAAUUUAUUACCAUUAUUUUUUAAAAAAAUAUUAUAUGAAAUAAUGUAUUUGAUGCUCACAAGUGUAUUCAAAGCUGAGAUUUAUCAUUUGUGUAACAAAUACAUUAAUUAACCUAUAUGUCUCAAUAAAGAUAUUACCAUUAACUUGUUGACAUAACAAAUAACAUCAAACUUUCUAUGUUUUAAUUGCAGUAGUCUCACUCUACAUUUCCAUGCAACAACAUUUAAUAUAAGUUCUUGACAUCUAUUAAAUUAAAAAAUAUAAAUAAAAAAUAAAGAUUGACAAGAAAGAUUCGAUAAAGGACAAAAGCUAGUGCUUCCACUACGAUAAAGACGGAUAUUAAAAGAGAAACAGCAAAGAGUACCUUACAGAGAAGGCGAAACAAAAACUAAGAUAAGUUUCAUGUACAUUCAUGAUCAGUCUCUAUUUAUUAAAUUUUUAUGAUAACACAUAGGUAUUAGAUAUCGACAGUACUUAUCAUAUUUGUAAUUCGUUAUAGAUUUUGGUAAUACCUAGGAGAUUGGCAAGAGGCGAAAUGGACCUCAAGAUAAACAACGGAGCAAAAGUUGUUACAACGACUAUUGGUGAGGUCACCCUACAUCUGUCUAGUGGAGCUACUAUUACAUUGGAUUUAUGUUAUUUUUUCCUUCUAUUAUCAAAAAUAUUAUUUUUAUUUUAUGUUUGACAAUUAGUAAAUAUAAAUUAGUUUUUGAGAACAAUGGUUAUUCAGUAAUAUUGGAAGAAAAAAUCAUCAUAAGAGAAACAUUGUAUAAUGGUUUAUUUAUGCUAGACACUGUUCCACAUAUUAUAAAUACAAGUAUGUCUAAGAAGAAAUGAGAUGAAGUGAACAAUGCAUACAUGUAACCUUGUAUGCUAGGUUAUAUCCACGAGGGAAGGAUUCAAAAGUUGCUGAAUGAUGGAUAUUUAGAUCCAUUCGACUAUGAGUCAUAUGCAACUUGUGAAUAUUAUCUUUGAGAGGAUUCGAAGAGUAUUUUUAUUUUCUUUUAUAUAUUCAUAAUAAAAUUUAUAUGUUUGAAAUCUUAAAAUUAAGUUCAAAAUGCUCUUAAUACUACUCAACAAACCCUGGGUUUCGUUUCCUUCCUAUUUAGGAAUUUUAUAAUCGCUUCAUAUAUGAUUCAAUCUUCAAAUUUAUGAUACAAUAAUCAAACGCUCAUUCCACAAAAUAAGUAAUCAAUUCAUAUGUUAAUAACAUGGAGAAACCUACAACCUGUAAGCAUAUAGAGAUUUGUUUAGUCUCUAAGAAUCAAUCCCACACCUCUAACACUAUCUUAGAUAUUGAUAAUAAUAUUUAGUCUCACAUUGAUCGAGAUGUAGGAGAAUCAAGGAUUUGUAAGUCCACCCGAUCACCCUUAAUUUUAGAGGUAUUUUUUGAUACUCAUGAGUUUCGAAAGGACAAAAUCGUAACGACAUUUUUAGUACCAUCCAUUUUUAUGUUUGAACCUGAUUAUAAGUAUUUGACAAAUAUCCUUCAAACUAUUAUAAAAGUUUUUAGUAUGACAUAUAUGUUAUAGCUUUGCAAAUAAAAAAAAAAAAGAGUAUUUUGCUCCAUUAAAAGCUUCCUCAUUUCGGAUCUUCCAUAUGCCUUUAAAUGGGCCGGGUUUAAAUAUUUAGCCCAAGAAGGCUCUGUUAAAUAUGGCCCCCUCGGUCGUUGCCUAUAUAAAGCAACAGACGUUAGGGUUUCCCGUGCUUUCCCCGCGGCCGCCUUCGCUUCCGGAGAUCUCAAUAGAGAGGCGAUCUUAGCAGGUUCGUAAUCGAAUGCUGAGAUGCUUUCUUUUGGUCUUUUAGCAACUUCUAGGGUAAUUAGCGACAAUCAGUAUUACGUGAUUCCUGCUGGUUACGAUGAUCUUGUGCCGCGGAUGAUUUUUGCGUCCUGCGAACGAUUGUUAGGAAAAUAAGAUCUGAAUAUGGUGUCAUUUAUGUUUCUUAAGAUCGUAAUAUUUAGGUUUUGUAAUGCUUGUUGAUUGGGACCAGCGGCUAUAGUGAUGUGUCCUCAAGAUGGUCGAUGAGGAGAAGUAAAACAUUAGUUUUAACUUUCUUUGCUAGCUAAUCCAUCAUCCUCCAUAUAUAUGAGGUGUACAGUUCGAUAAAAAAACCCUAUCUUUUUGUCUUCUUAAAGAUGCAGUUUACUAGUUGUGUAUCAGGUUUGAGGCCAACUAUCUAUUCUAUAUUUUCUUAACUUCAGAAAGGGUUGAUGAAUCGAGGUUGAGACCAACAAUUUAUUUCCUCAAGAUAAAGGAAUUGUGGUGAUCAUCAAAAGAUUUUUGUAGAACCUUUUUAUAUGCUUCUCCAAGUAAUAAAAUAGAACUUGGAUGAGUACCAGAAUGUCCAUGUUUCAUAUAUCUUGGUUUAACUCUAUUCACAAUGGUUCACUUCUUGGUGUAUAAACUGUGAAGUAUGUCAUCCUCCAUAUAUGGUACCUUAUGUUACUUGACACACAAAAGUCUUAAGAAAUUUUAAUGUAGAAUUGUUGAUCUAGUGCUGUUUUUUUUUUGCUAGUAUGAUGCUGUUGGGUGCAAAUUGGAUUAUCUGUGUCCCAUUUAUUUUCGCAAUCAUCCAAUUCAUUCUUGUUUUUAUGUUUUUGAAUUUUCUUCAUCUUAAGUUUUGCAUACCUUCUCUUUGUAUCUUAUAAAAUUUAAAUAUUGGGGCUAAUUUUUGGGACAAUCUUGUUUUUUGAAAUUGAUGUGGUUGAUGAAAAUAUAAUUUGUAGAGAAAAAUGCUGCUUUCCCUCUAAUGCAGAGUUGCUAUUAGCCAUAUGAUAUCACCAUUGAUCUCACAGCCCAUUUAUUUGCUUUCUCAAUGGGACAUUGUGCCAUAAUGAGUUUGCAACACCAGUUCCAGUGGCAUUUUGCUCACUGUGUCUCUUUGCCUUUAAUCUGGUUUUAAUUGUCAAGCUGUUCUUCUGGUUUAUGUUUAUUUUUUUUUAAAAGUUGAUUUAUGCUGAGCACUUGAUCUGAUGUAGUCUAUUUAACUUGUUUGGUCAGCAUGGAUACUCAAGCUAAACUUGCAGUUGUGGUGAAAGUGAUGGGCCGAACUGGAUCUAGAGGUCAGGUAACCCAGGUCAGGGUUAAAUUUUUGGAUGACCAAAACCGGCUGAUCAUGAGGAACGUGAAAGGCCCUGUGAGGGAAGGUGACAUCCUCACCCUUCUUGAGUCUGAAAGGGAGGCUAGGAGAUUACGGUGAUGACUUUCAUGUCAAUGUUGCCUACAUUAGUAGGGUAACUCUAUUAAGCUACAGAUUUGUCCUUCUCUGCCAUGGUCUUUCUGGUUCUAUGGCAUUAGUUUCUAUUACUUAGUCGCUUUAUUAUGAGCUGUAUCGAGCCAAGAAACUGUUUUUUCCUCUAAUGAGUCAUUUAACUCUCAAUGUUUGAACAUUUUUUAUGCUCAUGUCAUCUCUCUCUCUCUCUCUCUCUCUCUCUCUGUUGCUCUGCUUUUCUAUUAAAGAUGUUUUUGACUUACCGCACGUUGUGCAUUGAUGGCAAGUUCUAUGUAGAUGAGUUAAACAUGAACUUCGCAUCAUGAAGCGUUUAUGAUGUCUACCGAUGCUUAUCUGUGGCUUCAGUGGUUGUGUUAAAAAAUUAUGAUUAUAAGAUGAGGAUUUAAAUCCUCAAUUAAAUUGUUGAAUCGCCGGUUCUUAUUGUUUUUAUCAAUUAAUUGAUAUAAAGAAAAAAAAGUUUGAAGUGUUGUUUAGAAUUCAUUUGUGUUUCAUUUUUCUUCAGUUAGUUUGGAAUCGAAUUAAAAUUCAAAUCGUAAUUCUUGAUUGUUGAUUGUUUUUUGUGUUGUAUUGUGAUUGUCGAUUUUUUGUCGGUUUGAAUGGUACUGUGAUGUCGGAAUUAACGUACAUCACAUGGUAGUUAAACAAUAUUAACUAUUUUAAAUCACCAAGGCACGUUAAUGACAUGAAAUAGAUCAUCAUAUCAUUAAUCUCGUCACUACUAAAUAAUAAACAGAGCAUUGAGUAGGACACACGCAUCAAAACCUAUAAUAUUAAUCUAAUUAGAAAACCAAUAUAUUGAUCUCAGAUGCUCUCAUCACAAUCAACCAUUUGUGCUACCAAUUUGACCUCUACACCACAGAUGUCAAAGAUAUUUAUAAAUAUUUUUUGAAAUUUUUAUCCAUAAAUUUCGAAAACUUUAACAGUCAAAAAGGAACUUUAUUUAUUAAAUUGUAAUAUCCUCUCACACGUGUAAGUUCGAUUGGUAUAUAAAAUUAAACUAUAUAUAUGGGACAAACUAAUUAAAAGGAAAAUAUUUUACAUAAAUUAUAUAUAGGUCUAUACAAGAUUUAUUUCAUAAUUCACUGUGAUAUUAUGGUAAUAUUUUUGAAUUGGACACUACAAAUCCCAAUAGCUACUUUGAACAGUUAAAAGUGUAUCAUUAAAUUAGUUACGCAGUUCAAGAUUCAUAUACCCACUUUUAUCUCACACAGUAAUCAGCACAUCUGCGGCGGGACCCGUUAGGGGUCCACUGACGGCUUCUCACGUUCAGGGUCCAAGCUGUUCCCAACCAUAAGAUUCCCGCACCGCGACCUCUUAUCAAAUAGCGGUUCACCUCCACCGUGUGGAUGGCAGAGUAGGCAUUCGUCGGUGAGCUCCGACUCUACCCCAUGGCUCUUCUCUCCUCCUCCUCACAUCGAACCUCUCUGGCUUCUUCCUGCCCUCAAUUCUAUGCUGCCACCUCCCACGCCGACUCCAUCGGCUUCCGACAUCGCUCGCGCCUCCCUACUAGACCGAGACCCCCAAUCUCCUUCCUUCGGGCCUCCUCCCCGACACACUCUCUCUUAGGCGCCAUUCCUCGCAGCCAUGGCCGACCUCGCGGAAGAUCCCCGCGUUUCUUUGUCUCGGUAUGUUCUGCACGUGCAUCUCCCUGAAAAUGCUCGAUUUUGAAUUGCCCAAAUUCGAUUCUUUCACAUGUGACGUACAUCGGUUUGCUAGUGCGGAUAAUUAUCAGGAAAUGCAUAUUUAGUUCUUGAUGUUCUGCUGCGUUCAAAAUCAUCUUUUUCAGUUUUUAUAUGAUUUGAAUGCGUUAAGAAAAUUGGAUUGAUCGGUUUUAAGGGGAUUGAGAUGACCGAGUAUGACCUUCAAUUUCAUUGCUUAAAGAUACAUGGUUUCUGGAACUUAAAUGUCAUUUUCUCACAGGAAGUUCCUUUCUAGGGAAUAUAAGUCUGAGACUCGCUAUUUCACAGGAAUAGAAGAGUAGGCUAAUCUUGUAUUUGUUUUGAUUUUCAUUUCCAAAUGUCGUAGUAUGCUCGUGAAAAGAAUUAAGACCUUGAAUACUCUUGCUUCUCAUGUUUUCGUGUCUUGUUUCAUCAUCAAAGUGUGAAGCAGCAAACAUACUGUUUGGGAACUUUCUGCCAAAACCUAAAUCCUUGCUUUUAAUGAUGCUUACUAGUUUCUUCUUGAUCUUUAUUUAACCAAUUCUCAAAGAAAAAUGUUCAUAUCAUGCAUAAAACUUCUGUUUACUUUCAGUAAGCCUUCUAUUCUUUUUCAAAAUUUGUUGAAUUGUAUAGAUUUCUGUUAUGUUCUAAAUUCUACAAACUAAAACAUUGUUCGAGCCUCUCAUUCAUUUCAAUCUUUUAUCUAAUAAAAGAAUUUGUCACAUGUUUUUGGUUGUUUUCCUAAAUCAUUAGAUAUCAUCACUCAACUACUUUAAGGUUUCAUAUUAUUGCAUAAUUUGCUUGAGUCUGUUGUCCUUGUCUUGAUUUUUCAAUUAUAAAUACAUCAAAAGUAUAAUAUAGACUUAACAUUCAUCUUAGUGAAACAUUUUUUUAAAGAAAAAGUUCCAUCAGCAGAAAUUGCCAAUUCUCAGAUCUCAUGCUUCUAGGCUAUCAUGGUAAUAUUAAGGGUAUGAUCAAGCACCUUGUGAUGUUGUCAUAGUGCUUUAAAGUUCCUUAUCACUUACCACAUCUUAAUGUCAACUAUGAAGAAGGGUAUGGUUCAGAGUUCAUUUUUUUGUUUUGGUUUGCUUGUUUAUACUGGUGCAUUCUCAUGCACAAUUUCAUAUCUAUACCCAAUAUACCCAACAUACCUAUAAGUUGACCUGGCGUAAUUCAGUACAAGCAAUGCAGUCUCAUGCUGUACUAGUUGGCCACCACCACAGGCUGGAAAAUUGAUCGAAGAGAGCAUCAUAAAGAUUUCAAGUUUACUUUUUGUGCUAUCUGUUAAAUACUUAUCCUCUCUCCAUUUAAUAUUUUAUUGCCUUGUGAACCAAGUGUUUGUUUCUUGCAAUCACUUUCAGUGCCUUGCUUGAACCUUCUGAUUUAUAUCUAGAUCUCACAUUUAGAUAUACUUCCGCUGUCUGACCUUGUUAGAGUGUUCAAAUUUCCUAAAGGUUGUCUAAGUGAGUCCAAUUUGAAUAUAGUACAAGAUACUUGGUUUGUCAUCAAGUUAAUUACCUGGUUUUUGAAAUAUGUAUAUUCAGUAGUGUUGUAAUUAACUAUUGUAUUUAAUUAGCUCAGUGAACUACAAGAGUGUGAUCUUUAUUGAGGGAAUGAAUUCUGCAAGAAUUUAAUUAAGGUAAUCUAACAUAGUACUCCCUGUGCCUAUUUCAAGAAAAAGGUUGGGUUGUUGAUUUCUUAACACAAUUGCAAAAUUUGGUGGAAACAUGAGUUGGUUGGGUUCUAAUUUUGGAACGGCUAUUUUCUGAUGAUCCCUGUUUUCAGAAUACAGAAUUUGUUCUGAAAGGCUAAGUCAAUAGUUGCUAGUGGUUGGUUUUGGAAAGUCAUUGUUUGGCACGCAACAUACUGAAAGGACAAAGUUGAAGCUUUGCCAGACCUACAAAAGUCACCAUUACUUGUAAAGAAAUUACAAACUAUGAUAAAAAAAACAGGUGUCCUGAUAAAUUCAUAUUAAAAGACUACUUAUUGGUGAAAACUUAAUAGUUCUGAUAAUUUUGCAUCAGAACAAGUUAUAGAUGUUAACAUGUACGCAACACUAGUUAAAAAUACAAUGAAAUUCAUUUAUCUGCAAUCUUAUUGUUAACAUGUAUGCCCUACUGGUCUGUCGUGAACUAGAAAUACACGUUGUCAAAAUCCAAUCUGCAUAAAUUUGUUCAAAUAAAGAUGCUGAGGACCUAGUGGAAACCAAAAUUGAACUGCAAUCUUUUGACAUUACAAUUUAAGGGCCAAAUCAAAAUUGAAAAUCAAACCAAAUUAGAUUUGGAACUUGUGUUUGAGACCAAGCCAACAAUUUUUUGUGUUGUUACACUUUGAAGGCCAAGUUGAAAUUGAAUCCAAUUAGAGGUUUCAGCCUCUCUGAUGUGAUUUUAGCCAAUACAUAUAUGUGCAAAACAGCAACAAGGUAAUGUAUAGCAUGCGCAAACAAUGUAAUUCGUGAUUAAUUUGUAGGUACAACUAUUGCAGCUUUGUGAACUGACAGAAAUGUCAUGAUUCAUAUACAUAACCUUUUAUUAGUUUAUUUUCAAUAAAUGAGGUUUUAUAACUGAGAUUCACUUCUGUUUAAUAUGGCUUUUUAUGCAUAAUUUCUCUGUUUAGAUAUAAAGAUUCAAUACUUCUUUGGAACUAUAACUAUGAUGCCAAAUUUGCGAGAUGAUGACAUUAUAUAAUCAUUGUGAUAAUGCUCUAAUAUUUGGAAGCAUCUUACAAAUUUUAGCUGCAACACCUUGUGUACAAGACUAACAAUUAUAUAGUGUUCUACAAUGCAUGGUUGUUUGCAAUAUGAAUUGGUUUAACUUGAGGCAAUUGGGAAGAACUGCCCAGUAUACAUCCUUUGAAGUUCUAGACUCUUAGCUUAUUCUUCAUUGCACCUUCCAAUAACCAUGUUUGUGACCUUUUCUCUUGAUAGGAUCGAAAAUAAUUUGACGUCUCUGUGACAUCUAUUAUGAAUCAUGUUCUGCCUUGUCAACAACAUCAAAGUGAAAGCAAUUAAAGAGUAAUUUUUCAGUCACAAGUUUGUUUUCAUCCUUGAAAAACAUAUCAGUCAAAACUUAAUGACCUCUUAGUAUCUUUUUUUAAUUUUCUGCUACUCAUGUUUGUUUUCUCAUGAUUUGUGAAAGAUAUAAAUAUAACAUACAAAGGUAUAGUUAUCUUUUCUACAUAAACAAAUAACUGAAUUAACUUCACAUGCUAGGCAGGCAUGUUCUAAAGCUGAUGCUGCUGGUUCCAGUACAUUAACAACAAAAUUGUCAGAAUUCAGAGAUUCAUGUUGGAGAUUUUUAAGGCCUCAUACUAUUCGUGGGACUGCAUUGGGUUCCAUGUAAGAACUUCAGAAUUUAUUGUAUAAAGAUAGUGAACGAAUUGUUCAAAUUUUGAUAUCAAUCUUGAGUUUAGUUCUCUAUAGUUCUAACUCUCUGCUGUUUCUCAUCUGUGCUUUGUUUUUCUGUUUCUUUUUUAUUAAUGACAGAGCUUUAGUUGCAAAAGCUUUGAUGGAGAAUCCAAAUCUUAUAAACUGGUGGUUGACAUUCAAGGCAUUUUAUGGACUUGCAGCUCUUAUUUGUGGCAAUGGUUAUAUAGUGGGCAUUAAUCAGAUUUAUGAUAUUGGAAUUGACAAGUAUGAUAAACUCUGCUUGCAACUUACCAAAUCUGUUAUAUGUAUGAUUUUGUUUACUUAAAGAUUUUACCUCUGUGCACAUGACAUAUCUCAUACUCCUAUUAAUCUGAUUGCAUGACCAUCUGUUUCCUUAUCCUUUUUCCUUCUCAUCUUUGGUAACUUGUGUUUCUGGAAUUUUGCAGGGUGAACAAGCCAUAUUUGCCUAUAGCUGCAGGAGACCUUUCAGUUCAGUCUGCAUGGAUUUUAGUAUUGUUAUUUGCAGCAGCUGGCCUUCUGAUUGUAGCAUGGAAUUUUGGGCCAUUCAUUACUUCCCUUUAUUGUCUAGGACUUUUUCUAGGCACUAUAUAUUCUGUUCCUCCAUUUAGAUUAAAGAGAUUUCCAGUUGUGGCAUUUCUUAUCAUUGCCACGGUAUGCUUGGCCUUCUUUUCUCUUGAUUUUUGCAAAAUUAGAGGCUUCUACUUGUUCCUUAUGCAUAUUUUGAUAUAAAACUGAUCAAACAGUUAAUCCUUAUGAUACUGAAGUAUCUACUAUCUAGUUCUGUGGCUGCAUGAAUGCAAUUUAUCUAAGAAUUGGUUAGCAGCUAGGCUGAUUUGUAAUUCAUGUAGACAGUGUAUAGGUUACCCACAACAUGGAACAAUUUGUGCACUAACCACAAUUUUCAUGGAUAAUAAAUGUCAAACAUUUAUUAUACCUAUAACCUAUAGGAGAAAUUUAUUUUUAUGCAAUUAAUACACCCAUAAAUCUUAUCUAAGAAUACUUCUAAAUCUUCUUAGAUAUAAUAGCUUCAUGACUUCCUCAAACCAUGGUUCGCUUUAUCGGCCCGUACUGAUGUACCGACUAAUUGUUGGUAUAGUACAUACUGAGCUGUACCAAACCAUACCGAAUGUAUCAAUACAUGAUACAUGGGGUUGUACCGAUGUACCGCCCAUACCGGUCUCCUAUCGGAUUGGUACGUAUAGCCCGUAUCGAGCAGUGCACCAUGGUACGACAAACCUUGCCCCAAACCAUAUAAUACUUUGAAUUAAGACUUGGUAUACUCAAGUUUUUAACUUAUGACAUUUCGAAACAUAAGGAAUAAUGAUGAUAAAUAUCAUCAUUAAUUAUUCCAAACUUAACCGUGAAAGACCCAACUGAAUCUCAUCCUACAUCAAUUAUGUUAAUGCUGGUCUCACUAACUUACAUGGUCUUCUUGAUCAAGUAGUAAUUUGCAUUAGUGCAUAUAGGGUUGACAAUAUAUUCACACUAAGUUUGCAAAAUGCUGAUCUUUUUUCUGGGUCACUCAUGUUGGGGAUUGCUCGACAACCAACUUUUGUCAAUAGGAAAAGACAGAUGAUGAUUGUUGUUUUCCUUUUGCUAGUGAAAAGUAUUUUUUUAAACAUUAUUGUUUCUGCAUAUUCAAAUACUGAUUUGUACUUAUUUACCAAUCUGAUAAGGACCAUGGUCCGAUACUAAUCAAUGUUUUAUUAUUGUCCUUUUGGAUAUAUUGAAUGGCAUGGGUUGGUAUGCCCCCUGAGGCCUGCUAUACUGGUAUUGCAUCUGAUCGAUAGAUUAUUAUUAAGUCUAAAACCGAUACCAAACAAAGACUUAAAUUCUUGUUUGUUUGUCUUAUCCUUCUUGGUGUUUUAUAUGGUUUAUAUCAUCUUUAUUCAAUUGGUUUUUUGCAGUAAUGCUUUUUCACUUUUUUUUUUGAGCUGCUAUUUUUAUUUGAAUUCCUUAUAUUCUCCUUGUACAUUCUCAGUUACUUGAUUAUACCAAAGCUUAUAAGCAAUAUGCUUAUAUUCCAAAUUACAUAUUAUGAUGGCUAGAGAUUGGCUUAUAUUUGUUGGAUAAGGUAUCUCUCAAUCACUAACUUUUUUCAACGGAAGCAAAUUGCGGAAAUUAAUUUCGGGUAAUGAGUCUAUGACAAAUGGUUCAAGCCUGGCUUAAGCUGGUCCAUAUACCAGACUGCUCUUGGGCUGUUAUUUACCACGUAUACUGUACUGGUCCAAGCAUUAACACAUUCAAUGGGAGCAAUAUUGUAUAUCAUUUUUGUAUAACUUUCCGUUCAAUAUGUGAAAUUAAUACAAAUUAGAUGUUGUUCUGUUUUAUGAAAUAGUAAUCAAGAUCACAUUCAUAAUUUCUCAAGCUGUAUUCACACAUACUCAGCCUUUUGGUGGAUAUCAGAUCAUAAUUAUUUGAAUUCUCAUUUCUUUUCUUUAUUUUUAUGGACAUAGUUUGUUCUACUGAUUAUCUUGUCUUUUUUUAUGACUACAAUUCCAUAGGUACGUGGCUUUCUUCUCAAUUUUGGUGUAUAUUAUGCUACUAGAGCUGCCUUGGGACUUUCUUUCAAAUGGAGGUAAAGAAUCUUUUGAUAUUAAUAAAUAAAAUUUGUUACUGGAAGCCAUAUGCAUACAAUAGUUUGUAACUGUAAACUAAAAUAUGUUUGUUUGAGCAAACAUGUAAAUGUUGUUUGUGCAUCUCAUUGCAGACACAUGCAGAGAUGAUGGUGAUGUUUAAUCCCAUAUAACAUCUUUCUAUCUGCAGUGCACCUGUCACUUUCAUCACAGCCUUCGUGACACUAUUCGCUUUGGUCAUUGCUAUAACAAAAGAUCUUCCAGAUGUUGAGGGAGACCGCAAGUGAGUAAUGAACUGCCCUCCAAAUUUGUAUGUAUGAUACAAAUGUCCUUCACAUUUUUCUCAAUCUUGGGUGCACUUGAUACACCUGACUGCAUAUUAAUUUGCCUUUCCAAGCACAAAAAAAACCAUGAAAUCUCCCCUGUACCAGGAAGCUAAACUAUUGCAUUGUCUUAUAUGUGAUUAAUGAAGAUAUUAGUAGAUUUAGACAUGUAUAAAAUAUCAGUCAAAAUGGGUUUGGUCCUCCAGGCAUUUCAUCUUUGUCUCUAGAAAGUCAAAGCAGAUCACUCUCCACAAUCAGGUUCUAACCCGUAUUUUAAGGCCUAGUCCAAUGCUUUCAAAGCAAAGGCUUCUGUCAUAAGCACAAUGUAUUCGAUAAAUGUCUUGCAUGAUGCACAUGUUAACCUGUAUGCAUCUAUUCUUCUUGCAUCACACCUGUGCAUAGUUAAUCAAUAUAUGCACAAAAGACUUGGAUCUUAUGGUACAUCCCAACCUAAAAGUCAAGUUUCUGUAAAUGAACCUCAGAUGGUAGAUGGCUACAUGAGAAGGAGAUUGAAUUUUGUUAAUGAAAACAUUUGUGUUGUCUCUGAGGUUUUUCUCAAGAAAUGUUCCUUGUCUUUUUCAUUUGCUCCCUGCUUAUGAUACUAUCUAGAAGUCUUUCUCAGGAAAUCAGGUUCGAUUUGAAAUCUUUUUUUCACUGUUAUUUUGUUAGCUUUACUUUUUCCUUCUUUUAUUUGUCUUCCUUUAUUUCCAUUUUGUUGUUAACACAAUUUAAUCAGAUUUAGAGACAGAACUAGUCUGCCCUGUCUGCCAUGGGCCUUAUUCUUUAGUCAUAGUAGGCAAAUUUUAUUAAUCCAUUCCCUCAUCUUCAAUUUACUGUUUCAAUCUAGGGUCUAAAUUUCCUAUUAUCUGGAUCUAGCAGAAUAGGCAUGCUCAUGUCCUUCCUCUUUAUGUCUGCACUGGUCAUCGUGCUUCGGGGAUAUUCUAGAUUGUCAUUUAGCAUAUUAUUGUAUGCAGAAAGUUUUAACCCAUAUAACUUAUAUCUUAUCCAGCUAACUGGCUUCUAUGUUGGCAAGGACUGCUUCUUGCUUAAAUCAACAUUAGUUUAACAUUGGGCACUGUAUGAUUAUCUUCCAUAAACCAUAAUGAUCUAGAGCUUUGCUCAGUAUGUUAAACUGUGUUGUCCUUGAAGUCAUAUAUGAUGCUGCUGUUUCCCCUUUAAACUUUUCUGACUCUACAGUUGUUCUUUGGAGAUGAGAUAAACAUUCACGCAAACAAAUUGUGAUUAUAAUUGUAAAUAUACUGACACUUGGAUCAUGUAUUGGUUCUACCAUUGAAACAUUAUUAGUUACCUUUAAGUAAUACUUGGUAUUUGACCCCAGUAUUCAUUUUUUUUGGCGAGAAAUAAGUAUAGCCUGUCAACCUGAGUACAAGCACUUGCACAGGGUAAUAAUACGUUGACUCAGAGUUUGGUCAUUACAUGGUUCACAUCCAAUUUAGAGUAUGGCAGUUGGUUAAUUAAUUUGAAGUGUCAAUCAAUUGGUCUUUAGUCAAUCUUGAGAGAUGCAUUGAUAUAAGAUUAUUUUACAGUAUGUCACAGCAUGAAUGUUGAGGGUAUUGCCCUUCCCAUGUAGAGUUAAAAAAUACUUGUACAUGUCAUACGUAUCAAGUAUUUCUUCCUUGGCUCACAUAUGCAAUUCUUCUUUAGAUUUCAGAUCUCAACCUUGGCAACAAAGCUUGGUGUCAGGAACAUUGCAUUCCUUGGUUCAGGUCUCCUAUUAGCAAAUUACCUUGGUGCUAUUCUUGUCGCAAUUUAUAUGCCUGAGGUGAACACAUUAUCCAAAAUCCUUUUUGCAAGUCUUGGUUCCUUCUUAAACUCAGUGCUUCAAUAUUUCUAAUGUUUGUCCACCUCUUUGUUAUAUGGUUUCGAAACUGGCUUAUGUCAUUGUAACUGUUGUUGGCAAAAAUGAAAGAUCUGUUUACUUUUCAUUCAGCUUUUGGUUGUAUUAACCGAGUGCUUCAGUGCAAGCAGCCAUGAUCUUUUUGCCUUUUUUUCUGAAUUAUUGUGCAUUUUCUUUCUCUUGAAAUCUGCCUUUUGUUUUACAGGCUUUUAGACGCAGCAUAAUGGUGCCAGCACAUGCUCUGUUAGCACUGGGAUUAAUUUUCCAGGUUAUAUCAUAUCUAAUUUCCCCGUGUUUAUAUUGCACCUUAAAAAACACUUCAAGUUCCUUGCCCCUCGUGAUUAACUGAUAACUCCAUUUAUGUUGAUAAUUCAUUUUGAAACUUGCCUUAAGAAGUUCUUGCUGAAACAUGGCAAACAACUUCUUGAUGAUUGGACUUUUUUUUUGUAACUUCUUAUAGAAUAAUAUAUUUUUUUGUUGAUGCUUCUUACUGUACUAUAUCAGAUUGGGCAUUUUGUGAAUCUUUAAGAGAUAGGCAUAGAGCUUGCCACACAUUACAUUUUUUGCUAUAAUUAUUUAAAGUUAAGUUGAAUUAAACCUAUAGAUGAUACUUAAAUGUUGUGAUAUAGGUCAAAUGAUCUAAGGUUCCAAAUACCAGACUUACCAUCUUGUAUGGUCUGGUACUUAAUUGUCUAAUAGAGGAUGAACAGGUGGGCUGGCCAAUUUCACCCAUUCUGGCUCAAAAUAGAGGUUUUUUAUUUUUUUAAUUUUAUUUUAUACAGUUGAAGACAGUUGUUGGCUGCCAACAUAUAGUAAAAGAAUAUAAUAUAAAGUAUAGCUGAGAAGGCUAUUGGAAAACACUAUUCAGAUAAGAUUGUUUGGACACCGCCACCACAGUCUCUCUCUCUCUUCUCCUGACUGUAACCACCUCCUCCAUCAUUGCUGCCUUGGCAUCCACCUUCUCCCAUUGCCACUGCUGCCUCCUCCUUGCAUCAUUGUUGCUGCUGCCUCCUCCAACAGUAUGCAAAGUCAUCUCUUCCACUUCCUUCCCCUCUUUCUCCUCCUAUGCUCACUCCUAUCUCUUCCACUUCCUCCCCCUCUUUCUCCUCCUAUGCUCACUUCUAUCUCUUAUCUCCACUCCUCUGCCUCCCCUUUUCUCGUUCUUUUUCUUUGGUGCAUGCCAUUUAGCACAGGGCACACCAUGUGUCAGCAUGCUUCACGUGCUGAUUGCCAGAUCAGUACAAGUAUCAGACCAAAAUUUGAAACCUUGGGUCUGGGCAUUCACAUGAAAUAUAUUCAAGCUGAAUGUAUACAGAAUGUCACAUAAAAAAUAUAGUUCUUUUUUAAGAAAGCAGCUUCUGUAAGUAGUUAACAGUAAAGUGAAAAAUUAGUUGGAGCAUACAUAAAAUUGGAACUUUACUGAGUGCAUGUUGGGUUGCUCCCUGAUUGCAACAUUUUGUAUCUACUCCACACGUAUGAUUCUUUGAGAAAAGGUUGGAUAAGAUGGACAUAAAUUAAAUUAAGGCACUGUUUUAGAAAUGAUUUGUUGCAUGGGCAUCCCAGUUUGGUGGCUAUUAAGUGAAGGUUCUCAUGUUGAUCAUAAGGAAAAACUUAAAUGGCCAGCUAGGAAAUAAGUCAACAUCAGGGGGGAGUUCUCAUGAGGCUAUGGAUAUAGGGGAAGAAAAUGAACCAUGUAAGUUUAGUUCUGUCACGCCUUAUGAGUUUUACUGGCAGUUAAGGAUUUUACAUGUUGGUUAUGCUAACCUUGUUGGUUGAUGCUUGAAGCUUUUAACACACUAGCACAGUACGGCAUUGGUCAUGCUAAUGUACAAUUUGCUAAUGUUGGCUGGCACUCCUUUGUUAGCACACACUGGAUUAGGACCUUACAAGCAUGAGGGUACAUCCUGGAACAAAAUGUUAUUUUGCUACUAUGUAUUCCUAUGGAGAUAAAUGCUUGAUUGCAAAUAAAUUGUAUAGUUACACAUUGUACGAGGGAUUUGCUAGGUCCAAUCUUGAGGCCUACUAUUUAUCUAGGAUUAAUCAAACUUGUCCAAAAUUAUUCAUGGCAACCAAAAUCUACCUCAGACUCAACCAGAAGCUAUUGGAACUCAAUCAAACCUCUGCCAUUGACAAAGUUCAUCUGAUGUCAGUCUAGUUCCACCGGUUUCAGUUAGUUACUGGGUUGCUCGGUUCCAGGAUUUUAGCCAGUUACCAGUCUGGUUGGUUUCAGUAAGUUCUAACUGGUUUAUUGCUAUUAUCGGUUCAUUUUGAGAUCUAAUAGCUGAUUUUGAUCCUGACUUGACGUAGCCAAUUUAUGCUGAUUUCUGGUUAUCAAGAUCGAUUUUAAUUGUCAUGGUUGAACUUAGCUCAUUUUUAGCUUUGGAGAACCCAAUUUUUUGAUUGCAGAAUUUGAUUUGGCUAGUUUGUCAAUCAUAAUUCCAUAAACCUUAGCACAUCUGACUUAAUAAUAUCCUGCCAAUUCAUAUACGUGUAUUUUAAGCUUAUAUUUCUUUGUGUAUACGAAACAAAAGAUAGUGUAAAAUAUUUGCUUUUUUUUUUCUUUGAAUUUGAAGAUGGAGUUGGCUCUCUAUCUUUUUUUUGUCUUUUCUUUGUCUCUUUAUUUUAGAGGAUAUCCCUUGUAUUCCUAAUAUUAAGCUCUCUUCCUUAUAUGAUUAGCUUUAUAAUCUUCUUAUGCAUUAAGUUGAGGGUACAUGUGAUUUUCAGGCAUGGAUUUUGGAACAAGCAAAAUACACCAAGGUAUGAAUUAUCACUAUAUACUGUCCAUUAGUUUCUUAGAUAAACUCUACUCACAGUUUUCUUUAUCAAAACCUCAAGAGAUUGGUGAUACUUUUUUCUGUAACAUUGGGAUAGGUUUUAAAUUGAGAUGUAGAAAAAGCAAAUAGAUGACUGGUGAAGAAUAUUGCUGAGAGCACAGCAUCCUUCUCAAGAAUAGUCUAACCUCUUAAAUUCUUGCCUUUAAAAUCCAAACAAUCUAAUGUGCAGAGCAAUUCAUACAAAUCCCUAUCUUGGUACAUUAUAUACAUUAAAUCAUUUACAGUCAUGAGAAGCUAGUUAAAGUUUACAAUCAUCGCUCUUAAAUCAUUGUUGAUUUGAGCAAAAUAAAUUUAGUCUUGGUGAAAACAAAUUUUAGUCCUCAAUUAGAUAGUGCUAUUACAAGAAAAACAAUUGAAACUAGGUGAGACAUGGCUGUGCCUGUGCCAAAACCAAUUUCUUACUUAGACCUGAUUAAUCUCAUAUCACCGGGAUGUUUCCUUGUGAUGCUUUUAAAUAAUUUUCAGUCAUCACUUGUUGAUUGGGUGAUAACAAGUGACUCAACCAGUUUAAGCUAUAAAAAGAAUUUGUUUGUCAUUAUUUAAUGAUAUUUAUUUUAUCCUUCUUUUUCCUUGCAGGAGGCAAUAUCACAGUUCUAUCGGUUUAUCUGGAAUCUUUUCUACACCGAAUAUAUCAUUUUUCCCCUUAUAUAGCAAAACUUAGAAUUUUCUAUUGCUUGUAUCUCUGAAUCCUUUUCGCUUAUCCUUCUAUUUCUUGAUCAAGAGAAAAUUUGUAGGGAUAAGUGUCGUAGAAGAGAUUGCCCUCUUGAGAUGCAUGCAUAGAGGAGUACACACAGUGGGGAGUGCCAGUUUUGUUCCUGAAACUGACUGAUCCAAGGGCAUGUAUUUUGCAUGUUUUAUGCAGUUAUUUUAUUAGGUUAAUUACUCAGUAUUUUAUGUGUGAAAAUUGAGGAUAAACAGCUAUGUAGUUUUCUCAUUGACCAAUGAUAAUUUAUUUUGAAUGAAUUAUUCUUCCACGGACGUCAACUACUUUUUGCAGUGUGAUACUGCUUUGUGCUGUGGGUGUUGUUUGUUGAUGAACAUUUCAGUAGAUGGGAACCUUAUUACAAUAUUAUUUUGUAAAAUUGCAUAUAUAUAAUUCAUAUUUAUCACAAAGUUAUGUUUUGUGUGUGUGUGUGUGUGUAUAUAUAUAUAUAUAUAUAUAUAUAUAUAUAUAUAUAUAUAUAAUAGUAACUUUUGCCCUAUAUUUAUUCCAAACUCGAUUUAUAGAUAUUUUAAUCUAAAUUAAAUCAGCAAAAUAAACAUGGAAAUAGCAAAAGAAAAAAAGAACACUGAAUAAAUGACAUUUCUAAAUAUCGAGGGGAGUCGCUCUCGUCAACGCUCCAUCUCACGCUCUAUCCAUCUAAAUCUGGCAUCUCAGCCGUCCAUCCAUCCGAAAGGCUUGAUAACAUUCAUCACGGUGAUGGGCACGAAACAACGGUGAGCAGAGACGAUCAUGUCUUCCACUUCGACUGGCAGCCUUCCGCCCGGCGCUGGCGGAGGCGGAGGAGGGAUCGGCGGCGGCGGUGGCGGCGGCGUAGGGGGUGUGGGAGUACGGGGCUGGCUGUCGGCCACGUCGGUGUCGUCGUCUGGGAAGAGGAUCAAGAAGGAGAUGCUGGAGCUCAAUGCCGAUCCGCCUGCCGACUGCUCCGCCGGCCCCAAGGGCGACAACCUCUACCACUGGGUCUCCACCAUAAUCGGCCCCCAAGGUCUAGCUAAACUCUUCCUCUCUUUAUCAUGUUCAUCACCACCAUAAACCCUUACGCUCUCAUCAUGUUGUUCUAAUUGCUUCUUAGAGAGGCAGAUACUUUGUGUUCUCUGAAUUUACGGUUAGCAAUGGUUUCUUGAUUUAAGCUGACCUAAAAAUUGCUGCAAGAAGGGGGCUGUUGUUUGCACUUGCAGCCCCUCUGGUUUCAUUCAUGAUUAAUGAGAACAUUCUCAUAAGCAGGCGCUUAAUAAGACUUUUUCUUAAGGUAAUGGUUUCUCGGGGCAUAUGCCCCUUGCUGCUUGAGAUUUGGGGUGAUUAAUUCCUGCCCCUUGUUGUUUUGGACCUUGGAAAGUGAACAUUCUUGUAACAUGUACACUUGAUAUAUUAAGGGAUAUGCUUGUCAUGAACAACGUUUCAUGUGUUUCUCCACCAAACAGAAAGAGGGAGAGAAAAGGGGAGGACGAGAAAAGGUGGAGAAGAGGAGGAAGACUAUUUUGUCCUUUCUCAUAUUAGUACCUAAGCAUCUUUCCUAGAUUCUGGUAAGAACAUGGUCUUACCAAAACUAGUCAGGGGCUACCCCAACAGUCGAAUAGCCUUUGUGCACCUAUAAAUAUAUUUAUUGGAGUUCCAAGGUAUAAUCUUUCCCAUUUGUUGCUUCAACUCAGUCUGGCGACCUCACUCAUUUAAGCAUCCACAUGUACGACAUUGGACUCCCAUGCCCUUUUCUUCUUGCGAUUUUCAUCAUGUAGGCUCUUUUCCAUAAUGAUCUCACUUCCUACUGUCUAGCAACUUGAUCAGCAACUUCAAGAUGGUCUAGAUAUUAUGUGAUCAUUUGACUCGUUAGUCACACUCUAUCCUCCAGUUUUAGUAUAGCGACUUUUAGUUUGGAACUAUCAAGAUUUUUAGUUUGGCCAUGAACAGAACUGAUCUAAACAUGAACUUUAACCCAUUAUACCUAAUAUGCUCUAACCGUUUUUCUACUUACAUAUGCUUAAGGGGCUUUUAGUAAGGUUUUUAAGUUUUUCUAAUUGCUGCCGUGAAUCAAAUAUGCCAUAGCUAGGAUGCAUGUCAUAUCUAUCCUGCAAUAUUGGGAACAAUUCUACAGCUCACUGUAAACGUAGUUUCUAAGAGUUCUGGUUGGUAUGGUGAUUCCAUGGGGAUUUCCUUUGAUAUAUGAGAAUCUCAGUCAAACACUCUUCUCUCCCAUUUCAAUUGGGUAGCUAAAAAAUUCCAAACAGUUGAAAGGACUGGUAAAUUUCAGAUAGACAUAAAAUAUACAUGAAAUCUCCUACGAAACAUAAAAUGUAGACUGAAAUUUAAAAAAUCUCAACUUGGGAUUUCAAAAAUGUAGGCAUGCAAAAUGGAAUAAUCUUGUUGGAACUUGGAUUCCCAUUAUGGUAAUAGUCCUAGGAUUUCUAAUCCCUGUGCUAAAAGAUAUCAUGUGUUGAUUCUUUUCAUCAUUAAUGAGCUGUAUUAUAUUUUCUCUUCAAAGAUUACAUAUAUAUUUUCACCACGAAGUUUAAUCCUCGAUGCCUACCACAUAUGUUUUUUUAUCUAUCAAUAUUUAGAAUAGAUUUUCAUACGAAUGAUAAGUACCUAAAGGAUCCAUUUGCCUGGAACCCUUGGUAGUUACCAACUUUUGUUAUUAUUUCAGGAACCCCAUAUGAAGAUGGCAUAUUUUUUCUUGACAUUGUCUUUCCAUGUGACUAUCCAUUCAAACCCCCAAAGGUAUGUGAAAUUGGACUAAAUAAAAAGACAUCAAAUUGUUGUGCUUUUGUUAGUUUAUGCUUAAUAUUAUUAUACUAGACUUUCUAGCUACAACAUUGUAUUAUUUCAUUCAAUCAUAUUGCAUCAUCAUUUAGAUUCCUCAUUUCCUUUUACUUUUUAUAUACGUUGUUUCUUAACUGUCCAACAUUAUAUUAAUGUACUCACCUGUUAGAGAUAGUUUUAUAUUGGCAAGGUCAAUUUACCUGCCCUAUGAUAUGCUAGACGUUGUCUUUCCCAAUAUCUUCCUCAGUUUUCCUGCUAUUGGAAAGCAAAUCGAAAGCUUUGGAGAAAUGAGUAAAUUGAAUAGGCCAAAGAUGAUGUACAUCUAAGCGCAACAUCUUUAAGUAGGUUUUUUUAAAAAUAGCUUUAUUUGCCAGUAUCACGAUGAGAAUACCAUGCCUCUUCAUUCUUGCAACCUAUUGUAGAUAGUGUAUCCAAGUAUCACAACUUGGGCACAAGUAUUUCUUUAUUAUACUUUUUUUUCUCAUUUUUUGUUUGUUUGAAGCAUAAGCUUAAAAGGGUGCUAUGUCGUUAUUUGCAGAGAUCCAUUCAAAUCUAACAUAAAUUAGUGAGCACCCUUAUACAGUCAGCUUCAUAUGCCUAGGUCCAUUGGUCCAUGCAUCUUCCCCUUGUCAUGUUUUGUGCUUGACAUUUUCUUGUACCUCAUUAGUAAGACCAACCUAAGGAGGUUAUCUAGACCACGAUAGAGAAAAAUAAUUGAGAAGAUAUUAUGAAUAUUUCUACAACAAAUGUAUGCUAGGAUUCCAUUGGUAUAUUGAAUAGGUGAAUCUGUGGAGAGAUGAUUAAUACUCAUAAAAUAAAUCGCACUUUCUACCUCUAUUUAUUUGUUAAUUAAGUAGAAAAUAAAUUAAAAUCAGACAUUGUUUGACAACUACGUUGCUUAGAUGAUUGACACCCCGGUUUAGUCCUACAUUGCAAAUAAAAGGAUAAAUCUAAUUGUACAUAGGGAUAGGGGUAGAUGAGUCUACUACUAUUAGCUUGGGUUUAAAUAAUUUGGAUUAUGUGGCUUUAAGCUCACUAAGUUAAUACAUUUGUCUGUUCAUCAGAACUUGGUGAUAGGCAUGAUGAGAAAUCCAACUAAGAAAGAGCUACUCGUGGACGAGGCUUAAGGCACAUCCCAACAUGCAGCCAC
Molecule: long non-coding RNA, 38670 nt
Filed under: Musa acuminata (dwarf banana)
Lineage: Eukaryota; Viridiplantae; Streptophyta; Magnoliopsida; Zingiberales; Musaceae
Description: long non-coding RNA (MACU_LNC002113)
Source: RNAcentral